Molecule: non-coding RNA, 114 nt
Organism: Acanthosepion pharaonis
Lineage: Eukaryota; Metazoa; Mollusca; Cephalopoda; Sepiida; Sepiidae
Source: the annotation of a GenBank genome assembly
UACGGCCGCAUCACUUUGAAGCGCAGGUUCCCUUACAAUCAUCGAAGUUAAGCAACGUCGAUCCUGGUCAGUACCUAGUUAAGGUGACCGCUUGGGAAGAUCAGGUGCUGUAAG